UACGGGAGGCAGCAGUGGGGAAUAUUGCACAAUGGGCGCAAGCCUGAUGCAGCCAUGCCGCGUGUAUGAAAAAGGCCUUCGGGUUGUAAAGUACUUUCAGUCGUGAGGAAGGUGUUAAGGUUAAUAACCUUAGCAAUUGACGUUAGCGACAGAAGAAGCACCGGCUAACUCCGUGCCAGCAGCCGCGGUAAUACGGAGGGUGCGAGCGUUAAUCGGAAUUACUGGGCUAAAGGGCACGCAGGCGGUUAAUUAAGUUGGAUGUGAAAUCCCCGGGCUUAACCUGGGAAUGGCAUUCAAGACUGGUUAGCUAGAGUCUUGUAGAGGGGGUAGAAUUCCAUGUGUAGCGGUGAAAUGCGUAGAGAUGUGGAGGAAUACCGGUGGCGAAGGCGGCCCCUGGACAAAGACUGACGCUCGAUGUGCGAAAGCUGGGGAGCAAACAGGGAUUAGAUACCCG
RNAcentral lists this ribosomal RNA (454 nucleotides) under uncultured bacterium. RNAcentral's name for it is "bacterial SSU rRNA". It matches the Rfam family "Bacterial small subunit ribosomal RNA", at positions 340 to 788 of the family's 1533-position model. The record is from RNAcentral.